Molecule: long non-coding RNA, 793 nt
Filed under: Triticum aestivum (bread wheat)
Lineage: Eukaryota; Viridiplantae; Streptophyta; Magnoliopsida; Poales; Poaceae
Description: long non-coding RNA (TAES_LNC016713)
Source: RNAcentral
UCGCGAUUGGGCCCUCUCUUCCGCUUCCCUUACCUUCUCCCUCUCCCUCUCCCUCGUCUGCCGCCGCCACCACCACCGGCGACCUCCUCCAUGGCUGACACACCACCCCCUUCUCUUCCCCCUUACCUUCUCCUCAUCAGCGACCUCCUUCCCUCCCCCUCGCCCCAGAUCGAAGAAUAGGCCCGGAUGCGACGCGGGCUCAGAUCCAGCACGCCCACAACACUCUUUUUGCUGGAGGACGCCAUGGAAAAGGUGCUCUGGCCCUGGUACUGCAGCCAUGGAGAGGUGCCCUCCCAUCUUUAUGUGCGUGUUUGUUGGAUGGUGAGAAAAGAUAACUGGAUCAAGAGCUACUUCGAUGCCAUCCUCGACAUCGGCAAGUCAGCCGACGGUGAUCGCCCUUCCCUGCUUCUCCUCAAUCAUGCCCACUUCUCCCUGGCUGCCUACUCCGUCGAGGAGAUCAUCAUCGAUGCACAAAUCCCAGCCUUUUGGAUUUCUCUAUUUUUCUUCCAAUUUGACUAUGCUUGUUCUGAGUCUCUUUCUGUGUUUCUCUUCUUAUUCUUCGGGGACUGAAGGUGGCGUACAGGACCAAGGAGAGGAGCAGCGGGCCAGGAGGUCUGACCCUCCCCUAUGCCCCCAUGGCCAUGGUUUGUACUUUCUCAUGUCAGUUUUUUGAGAGCUCUCUUUUAUUCCUGCCGAACUGCACAUUAAUUAAUUUAUUUGGAUAUGCUUAGUGGUCGUUGACAAUCAGAAAUCUCGAGGUAGCGGCAGAAUAUGUUUUGCAAAAUGCGUCAGG